Unclassified non-coding RNA from Macaca mulatta (Rhesus monkey), 148 nucleotides. It matches the Rfam family "Metazoan signal recognition particle RNA". Rfam says of the family: The signal recognition particle (SRP) is a universally conserved ribonucleoprotein. It is involved in the co-translational targeting of proteins to membranes. NCBI's taxonomy places the organism in Eukaryota, Metazoa, Chordata, Mammalia, Primates, Cercopithecidae. The record is from Ensembl.
GCCGGGUAUAGUGGCGUGUACCUGUAGUCCCAGCUACUUGGGAGGCUGAGGCAGGAGAAUCACUUGAACCCAGGAGGCGGAGGUUGCAGUGAGCCAAGAUCAUAUCACUGCACUCCAGCCUGGGUGACAGAGCGAGACUCAGUCUCAA